GACGAACGCUGGCGGCGUGCUUAACACAUGCAAGUCGAACGGAAAGGCCCUGCUUUUGUGGGGUGCUCGAGUGGCGAACGGGUGAGUAACACGUGAGUAACCUGCCCUUGACUUUGGGAUAACUUCAGGAAACUGGGGCUAAUACCGGAUAGGAGCUCCUGCUGCAUGGUGGGGGUUGGAAAGUUUCGGCGGUUGUGGAUGGACUCGCGGCUUAUCAGCUUGUUGGUGGGGUAGGGGCUUACCAAGGCUUUGACGGGUAGCCGGCCUGAGAGGGUGACCGGCCACAUUGGGACUGAGAUACGGCCCAGACUCCUACGGGAGGCAGCAGUGGGGAAUAUUGCACAAUGGGCGGAAGCCUGAUGCAGCAACGCCGCGUGCGGGAUGACGGCCUUCGGGUUGUAAACCGAUUUCGCAUGUGACGAAGCGUGAGUGACGGUAAUGGGUAAAGAAGCACCGGCUAACUACGUG
RNAcentral lists this ribosomal RNA (468 nucleotides) under uncultured bacterium. RNAcentral describes it as "partial 16S ribosomal RNA". It matches the Rfam family "Bacterial small subunit ribosomal RNA", at positions 28 to 507 of the family's 1533-position model. The record is from RNAcentral.